GCCCCACUUGUGGUCGGUUUACAGGUGGUGCAUGGUUGUCGUCAGCUCGUGUCGUGAGAUGUUGGGUUAAGUCCCGCAACGAGCGCAACCCUCGUUCUAUGUUGCCAGCACGUGAUGGUGGGGACUCAUAGGANACUGCCGGGGUCAACUCGGAGGAAGGNGGGGACGACGUCNAAUCAUCAUGCCCCUUAUGUCUUGGGCUUCACGCAUGCUACAAUGGCCGGUACAAAGGGUUGCGAUACUGUGAGGUGGAGCUAAUCCCAAAAAGCCGGUCUCAGUUCGGAUUGGGGUCUGCAACUCGACCCCAUGAAGUCGGAGUCGCUAGUAAUCGCAGA
This 335-nucleotide ribosomal RNA is filed under the name Arthrobacter sp. 10-11G. Its description in RNAcentral is "bacterial SSU rRNA". It matches the Rfam family "Bacterial small subunit ribosomal RNA", at positions 1014 to 1348 of the family's 1533-position model. The record is from RNAcentral. Lineage: Bacteria; Bacillati; Actinomycetota; Actinomycetes; Micrococcales; Micrococcaceae.